This 760-nucleotide long non-coding RNA is filed under the name Homo sapiens (human). Its description in RNAcentral is "HSALNT0185921". Lineage: Eukaryota; Metazoa; Chordata; Mammalia; Primates; Hominidae. The record is from RNAcentral.
CUGGCACGUACAACAGCACCUGCUACAUCAUCAUUAUUAUUAAUUAUAUUUUCAUCUUUGAUCUUAGAUUCAGCAGAUCCUCAUUCCAUUCAUUAAGCUUACCAUAGAAGAAAAAUUUACUUCAGCAUCAGCUUUUAACAACAGACUUUGAGAAAGUGGUUGAGCACGAUCCAGGCUCUAUGGGAUGAAUGAAUGAACUGGGGCAACCAGGUAAAUAGCCACAUAAGACCAGUGGCCACUGCAUUGGCUAGCACAGCCUUAGGACCACCUCCAGUUGUUGCCAAAGUCCAUCUGAAGCCACUCUUCCAGACAAGACAUCUGAAACUUCCAAGCACCUGGCUGGCAUCUUUACUUGGAUUUUGCUACUACUUCCAUCAAGGCUGGCGUGAUGAGGCAGGAAAAUGAGAUCACUCAAUGGCUAUUUCCAGUGCCCUUCAAUCACUAGGCAACUAGAUGAUUUGUUUUUUAAAAUGCAGGUUUAUGAAGCCUAGAAACUUCCUUCCUUUCCUGGAUGUUUUUGCUAACAAGUUCCUGGUUAGAUCCCAGCAGUGAGAGGCUCCAGACUGAGGUGGGGAAGGUGGAAGAGAAAAAGAAGCUGCUAUGCUCCAGGUGCACCUGGAAGACGUCACUUUGAUGUUGGCCUGUGGCAAAGGUACAGUUUUGCCGGUGACAUCAGGCAUCUCCUGAGAAUCACCCACUUGCCUCACUGUAGCCCUUCGCUUACAUUUUUCCCAAAUGAAGCUUUCCUGUUCUUCACUCC